Molecule: ribosomal RNA, 2271 nt
Filed under: Thysanoteuthis rhombus
Lineage: Eukaryota; Metazoa; Mollusca; Cephalopoda; Oegopsida; Thysanoteuthidae
Description: SSU rRNA
Rfam family: Eukaryotic small subunit ribosomal RNA
Source: RNAcentral
UCAUAUGCUUGUCUCAAAGCUUAAGCCAUGCAAGUGUAAGUUCACGCCACGCAUUAGAACGGGCGAAACCGCGAAUGGCUCAGGAACCGGACCUAAUCCUCGGGACCGUAAUCCUCCUCGGAGGCGAUGGAUAACUGUGGCAAUUCUAGAGCUAAUACAUGUGACACAGGCCGCGAUCGGCCGUCGCGUCGUGGUCGCCUCGCCUUCUUGCGCGCUGGCACCCGCGGCGGCCGUCUUGGGUCGCGGCGCUACAUAUUAGACUGAGACCGAUGCGCGAUUUCCGCCCUCUCGUGUCGUCGUUUCCGUGCGUGCGUGCUCCGGCGUGUGCGUGCGGUCGAUGGCGCGGGGCCAAAGGACGGCGCGCUCCGCUUUGGUGACUCUGGAUAACUCACUGGUCGAUCGCACGGGCUUCCACGCCCGGCGACGGGUCCCUCGAGGGUCCGCCCUAUCAACUGUCGACGGUCGGUUAAGUGCCUACCGUGGUUACUACGGGUAACGGGGAAUCGGGGUUCGAUUCCGGAGAGGGAGCAUGCGAAACGGCUACCACAUCCAAGGAAGGCAGCAGGCGCGCAAAUUACCCACUCCCGGCACGGGGAGGUAGUGACGAAAAAUAACGACGCGGGACUCUGUCGAGGCCCCGCGAUCGGAAUGAGUACACUUCAAAUCCGUUAACGAGGACCAACCGGAGGGCAAGUCUGGUGCCAGCAGCCGCGGUAAUUCCAGCUCCGGUAGCGUAUAUUAAAGUUGUUGCGGUUAAAAAGCUCGUAGUCCGAACUCGGGUUCGUGGUCGCUCACGCGGCCCCGGGGCGGCGGCGCCAUCGUCCAUCGUUGACUUUGGUCGUCCGUUCGCAUUCCCGGCCCUUUCCGCCGGUGUCGAUCGCUGUAUAGACGGCCGCGGGUGGAGCCGGUGCGAGGCGUGAYUCCGUCUUUUCGCGGCGUGGGGGGCUCUCGUCCUUCCGGGUAGUCUUCCGCUUUAUUGCGGUUGUUCUCCCGGUCGGUUCGGCGUCUUUCCGCGUCGUCGUCUUUUCGGUUCCGGGCUCUCGGGCCCCCUCGUGCCACGCGACCCCGCGUUGCCGUCGGCGAUUUCUCCUCCAAGGGUGCUCUUAACCGAGUGUCCGCGGCGGCCGGUACGUUCACUUUGAAAAAAUUAGAGUGCUCAGAGCGGGCUGUUCAAGCUUGCAUACGAUAAGCAUGGAAUGAUGGAAGAGGGCCUCGUCUACGUCUGUCGGUCUCCGUCUACGGCGAGGCAAUGAUCGAAGGGAGCGGUCGGGGCCACUCGUAUUGCGACGUUAGAGGUGAAAUUCUUGGAUCGUCGCAAGACGAACUGCAGCGAUGGCGUGUGGCAAGCACGUUUUCCUCGAUCAAGAGCGAAAGUCGGAGGUUCGAAGACGAUCAGAUACCGUCGUAGUUCCGACCGUAAACGAUGCCGACCGGCGAUCCGCCGGCGUUCGCUUCCAUGACCCGGCGGGUAGCCUGCGGGAAACCAGAGUUCGGUUCCGGGGGGAGUAUGGUUGCAAAGCUGAAACUUAAAGGAAUUGACGGAAGGGCACCACCAGGAGUGGAGCCUGCGGCUUAAUUUGACUCAACACGGGAAAACUCACCCGGUCCGGACACCGGUAGGAUUGACAGAUCGAUAGCUCUUUCUCGAUUCGGUGGGUGGUGGUGCAUGGCCGUUCUUAGUUGGUGGAGCGAUCCGUCUGGUUGAUUCCGAUAACGAACGAGACUCCGGCCUGCUAACUAGUGCGCCGAUGUGAGUGCGGCGCCCUCGCGCGUCGUGUGCGGGCACGCGGCGGCGGGUGUCGAUUUUUGUGAUCGUCCCCCCGUCGUGUCCGGGUCGGUUUCUCACGCACUUCUUAGAGGGACGGGUGGCAGAAAGCCACACGAGGCGGAGCGAUAACAGGUCUGUGAUGCCCUUAGAUGUCCGGGGCCGCACGCGCGCUACACUGGAGGUAUCAGCGGGGACUUCGCCCCGGCCCGAGAGGGUCGGGAAACCUCUCAACCACCUCCCGUGAUAGGGAUCGGGGCCUGUAACCAACCCCGUGAACGAGGAAUUCCCGGUAGGCGCGGGUCAACAGCCCGCGUCGAUCACGUCCCUGCCCUUUGUACACACCGCCCGUCGCUACUACCGAUCGAACGGUCCGGUGAGGUCCUCGGAUCUGGCCGACGACGCCGCCGGGUUCGGGACGACGGGGGUCCUCGCGGCCCUCCCGCCCCUUCGACCUCGGCGUUCGACGCCUGGAGAAGACGACCGAACCCGAUCGUUUAGAGGAA